CCUACGGGUGGCAGCAGUGAGGAAUAUUGGUCAAUGGACGCGAGUCUGAACCAGCCAAGCCGCGUGAAGGAUGACUGCCCUCGGGGUUGUAAACUUCUUUUAUAUGGGAAUAAAACAGGGGGUGCAUACCCUCUUGUAUGUACCUUACGAAUAAGGAUCGGCUAACUCCGUGCCAGCAGCCGCGGUAAUACGGAGGAUCCGAGCGUUAUCCGGAUUUAUUGGGUUUAAAGGGAGCGUAGGUGGAUUGUUAAGUCAGUUGUGAAAGUUUGGGGCUCAACCGUAAAAUUGCAGUUGAAACUGGCAGUCUUGAGUACAGUAGAGGUGGGCGGAAUUCGUGGUGUAGCGGUGAAAUGCGUAGAUAUCACGAAGAACUCCGAUUGCGAAGGCAGCUCACUGGACUACAACUGACGCUGAUGCUCGAAAGUGUGGGUAGCAAACAGGAUUAGAUACCCUAGUAGUC
This 460-nucleotide ribosomal RNA is filed under the name uncultured bacterium. RNAcentral's name for it is "partial 16S ribosomal RNA". It matches the Rfam family "Bacterial small subunit ribosomal RNA", at positions 338 to 795 of the family's 1533-position model. The record is from RNAcentral.